UAGACGUCCAUGAUCGAAAGCGGCCU
RNAcentral lists this small RNA (26 nucleotides) under Bombyx mori (domestic silkworm). Its description in RNAcentral is "ovarian small RNA-21947". The record is from RNAcentral. Lineage: Eukaryota; Metazoa; Arthropoda; Insecta; Lepidoptera; Bombycidae.